Molecule: ribosomal RNA, 253 nt
Filed under: uncultured bacterium
Lineage: Bacteria
Description: partial 16S ribosomal RNA
Rfam family: Bacterial small subunit ribosomal RNA
Source: RNAcentral
UACAGAGGGGGCAAGCGUUGUUCGGAAUUACUGGGCGUAAAGAGCGUGUAGGCGGCCAGGUAGGUCGGUUGUGAAAACUGGAGGCUCAACCUUCAGAGGUCGACCGAAACCAUCUGGCUAGAGUCCGGGAGAGGAGAGUGGAAUUCCUGGUGUAGCGGUGAAAUGCGCAGAUAUCAGGAAGAACACCCGUGGCGAAAGCGGCUCUCUGGAGCGGUACUGACGCUGAGACGCGAAAGCGUGGGGAGCGAACAGG